GUGGGCAUAGCGCUGAGCGGGCUCUUCCGCAGUAGCGGGUGCUGUGGGGAGGCAGGGCCUCGAGCGGGCUUUAAGGCAAUUGGCGGGGGGCGCAAUAAGAGACAGGGCGUUGAGAAGCGCGGGUUUUCUUGCAGGCGUGCAGUGGGGAACGGAAAGUCACUGAGUAGGUUGCAUGGCGGGGGAAGGGCGCUGAGGGGCCCUUGCCGGCAGGGGGCGCUGAGGCGAGGGCAGAGCGCACUUUAGCUGAGGUAGCGGGCCUUGCUAGCGGGAGGGGCGCCGCCGCCGGAGACGUUCUAGCCUCUCCUCUCGUUGGCGGUUCUUUUCCCAGCGUCCCGAGCGCGGCAGCAGCGGCAGUUCCAUUCCGUGACCUUCGCCAACCGCCCGUGUGUCUCCGGCUCCAAGAUGUUAAAAUAUUUGACUAAGACGUGGGGCAACAUGAAGAUUUACUACACUACGGUUUACCAGGAAAUAUGGGUUGGGUUGGCCUUAACCACCUAUGCCUAUUACAAACUUUCCUAUGGUAGUAAAAAAGCAGUGGCAGACAAAUCUUCUGCUGCUGGCCAUCAUUAAAUGGCUCUUCGUUGAGUAUGCAUUCCAUGACUUGUCAUCUCUGCUAUAAAUGAAGCAAGCUACCAUCAUAGGGAAGUUAAUUGGACCGCAUAAUCAUUGUACAGUCCUACAACUGUAUAUAAUCCACUGUACUACAUAGGAGGAAUAAAUGUGUUGAGCAAGAA
Chrysemys picta bellii (western painted turtle) is the source of this 734-nucleotide non-coding RNA. NCBI's taxonomy places the organism in Eukaryota, Metazoa, Chordata, Testudines, Emydidae. The record is from RefSeq and is a predicted model, not a curated record.